GAAUUGAUCGUCGGCGAUGCGGCGGCCCCCGAUGCCUUCACGCGCUCCACAUCCGGGAUCAUGAGCAAGGCUGGCGA
RNAcentral lists this transfer RNA (77 nucleotides) under Pararhodospirillum photometricum DSM 122. RNAcentral describes it as "tRNA-Pro". Lineage: Bacteria; Pseudomonadati; Pseudomonadota; Alphaproteobacteria; Rhodospirillales; Rhodospirillaceae. The record is from RNAcentral.